UACGUAGGUGGCAAGCGUUGUCCGGAAUUAUUGGGCGUAAAGCGCGCGCAGGCGGUCCUUUAAGUCUGAUGUGAAAGCCCACGGCUCAACCGUGGAGGGUCAUUGGAAACUGGGGGACUUGGGUGCAGGAGAGAAGAGUGGAAUUCCACGUGUAGCGGUGAAAUGCGUAGAUAUCAGGAGGAACACCGGUGGCGAAGGCGGCUUUCUGGACAGUAACUGACGCUGAGGCGCGAAAGCGUGGGGAGCGAACAGG
Molecule: ribosomal RNA, 253 nt
Filed under: uncultured bacterium
Lineage: Bacteria
Description: partial 16S ribosomal RNA
Rfam family: Bacterial small subunit ribosomal RNA
Source: RNAcentral